RNAcentral lists this ribosomal RNA (253 nucleotides) under uncultured bacterium. RNAcentral's name for it is "partial 16S ribosomal RNA". It matches the Rfam family "Bacterial small subunit ribosomal RNA", at positions 524 to 776 of the family's 1533-position model. The record is from RNAcentral.
UACGUAGGCAGCGAGCGUUGUUCGGAGUUACUGGGCGUAAAGCGUGCGUAGGCGGUGAUCUAAGUCUGUUGUGAAAUCUCCCGGCUUAACCGGGAGGGUGCGGCGGAAACUGGGUUGCUGGAGUGCGGGAGAGGUAAGCGGAAUUCCCGGUGUAGCGGUGAAAUGCGUAGAUAUCUGGAGGAACACCGGUGGCGAAGGCGGCAUCCUGGACCGGUAUUGACGCUGAGGAGCGAAAGCCAGGGGAGCAAACGGG